GACGUAGGAGGCGAGCGUUAUCCGGAUUCACUGGGCGUAAAGCGCAUGUAGGCGGUUGGACAAGUCGUGUGUUAAAGCCCCUGGCUCAACUGGGGGAGGUCAUGCGAGACUGUGCGACUUGAGGGCAAGAGAGGCACGUGGAACUCCCGGUGUAGCGGUGGAAUGCGUAGAGAUCGGGAAGAACACCAGUGGCGAAGGCGACGUGCUGGGUUGCACCUGACGCUGAGAUGCGAAAGCCAGGGGAGCAAACGGG
Molecule: ribosomal RNA, 253 nt
Filed under: uncultured bacterium
Lineage: Bacteria
Description: partial 16S ribosomal RNA
Rfam family: Bacterial small subunit ribosomal RNA
Source: RNAcentral